AUUUGUUUGAGAAUCUCUCUUGUAGCUCACUCUCUCCCUUUCCCAAUCGACACCUACACACCCAGACACCCCCACACCCAAGGAAAUCCGUCGACGUGACACCACCACACUCACCACCAUGUUAGCACACACUCUCUCUCUCCUCACCUCUGUGGAACACAAAGAACCCCCGGUGAACCCAAGUUCGGCCAGCUCCGACCAUUUCGCGGCGAAUCGAAGGUUGCAUUUAUUAGCGGCGAUUCUAGCAUUCCUAUUUCGCACGGCUCUUUGACGACGGAGUAUCUGACAUAGGAACGAGGCGUACGAUCCGAGCUACGAGGCAUUCUCCUACCAGUGAUUUCAUAUCAUCCUCUCUGCUUUGACAUCUAUUGUAAUAACACCUCUCUAUUUUACCUUUCGCUUGUACUCUGGAUAAGUUGUAUGCUCUGAACAUGUCAUGCAUUAUCAUUAUAUUCAUUGUUGGCAAUUGAAUAUUAUUAUUGUAUUUUGUAAGACUUAUAUUUGAAUAUUACUUUGUGUAGUUACA
Long non-coding RNA from Pyrus x bretschneideri (Chinese white pear), 526 nucleotides. RefSeq lists it as uncharacterized. The transcript is spliced from 3 exons. The record is from RefSeq and is a predicted model, not a curated record. NCBI's taxonomy places the organism in Eukaryota, Viridiplantae, Streptophyta, Magnoliopsida, Rosales, Rosaceae.